This is a long non-coding RNA of Catharus ustulatus (Swainson's thrush), 430 nucleotides long. RefSeq lists it as uncharacterized. Lineage: Eukaryota; Metazoa; Chordata; Aves; Passeriformes; Turdidae. The record is from RefSeq and is a predicted model, not a curated record. The transcript has 3 exons.
GAGCCACUUUUCUGCUUUUUCUGCUGCCAGGGGAGAGGAAGCUGGCGGUGCCUGGAAGGUUGGGAGGAGAUAGAGCACGGACAGGUGACCCCAAGUGACCAAAGGGAUAUUCCAGACCAUGUGACAUCGUGCUCAGGAUAUAAGGUCACAGAGGAUUUGGUUCAAAGCAACCUGAUACUUCAGAAGGCACUGGAUGCAUCUGGACCUGUGGAAGACUCAUGAUGAGAGAUUUGAUGAUGACACAUAACUUGAAAAGUACUCCUCACAUCAAAAGGAAACUCAAGAAAAAGAAAGAAUUUUUCAGAACAGAAACGAAAAUGUUCGGCAACAUAGACAGUGGAAUCAAAUGCGCACUCGGCAGCUUUGCAGAUGACACGAAGCUCAGCGGGGAAGUUGUGGAUACCCAUCAAGGCUGGGUAGAGUGAGGCCC